UCAAAUCACCCCGACCGGAUUCUCAGACGGGUCAAAUCAUGUGAUCCAAUAACCCCGUCUGAUAUCCCGGCCGGGGCGAGGUUU
RNAcentral lists this microRNA precursor (84 nucleotides) under Medicago truncatula (barrel medic). RNAcentral describes it as "miR5756 stem-loop (mtr-MIR5756)". The record is from miRBase by way of RNAcentral. Lineage: Eukaryota; Viridiplantae; Streptophyta; Magnoliopsida; Fabales; Fabaceae.